RNAcentral lists this ribosomal RNA (360 nucleotides) under uncultured eukaryote. RNAcentral describes it as "partial 18S ribosomal RNA". It matches the Rfam family "Eukaryotic small subunit ribosomal RNA", at positions 592 to 976 of the family's 1831-position model. The record is from RNAcentral.
CAAUAGCAUAUAUUAACGUUGUUGCAGUUGAAAAGCUCGUAGUUGAACUUUUGGUAGGAGCGACCUGGCCUUGGGCGCAUGCCCUUGUUUGCCGUGUGUCGUGUCUGGCCAUCCUUUUCCGCUUCGGCGGGAAUCUUUUACUGUGAGUAAACUGGAGUGCUCAAAACAAGACGUUUGUUUGGUACAUUAAAGCAUGGAAUAAUAAGAUAGGACCUGGUUACUAUUUUGUUGGUUUGCAUAGCUAGGUAAUGAUUAACAGGGACAGUUGGGGGUAUUCGUAUUUAAUUGUCAGAGGUGAAAUUCCUGGAUUUAUGAAAGACGAACGACUGCGAAAGCAUUUACCAAGGAUGUUUUCAUUAA